Molecule: long non-coding RNA, 461 nt
Organism: Jaculus jaculus (lesser Egyptian jerboa)
Lineage: Eukaryota; Metazoa; Chordata; Mammalia; Rodentia; Dipodidae
Exons: 2
Source: RefSeq, a predicted model, not a curated record
GGCGGCUCCGCGGCCGCUGCCGAAGCCACCGCCGACCUCUCAAUUAGCCUUCUCUUUGUUUUCUGGUUCGUCUCCAGCUGCAGGCGAGCCGCGACUUGCAGAUUCGCGGGGGCGCGUAUCCCGGACCCCAGCGACGGGCGGAGCCGACCCAGGCGCGUGCUGAACACCGUGGUGAACGUCAACGAGACGCACGUGCGGUGGGGACGCAGCACGAGAGCAGACCGGGGUAACUUGGAGGUGAAGCAAAACAGUGAGGCACUGAAACGGUGACUGCAGAACUCAGAAGAAUGAUCUUGGCUUUAGAUACUAGUGUUAAAAUUAUCAGAAAAUAGCCUAAUAGGUGACGCAUGCUACUGUGUUCUUUACUUUUGUGAAAGCUGAAAAAAAAAAAGAAAAAUAUUAAUGACUAUGUGUCACGAAUAACAUCAUCACCAGUACUUUAGAAUACAAACUUUCCCUAU